UUUAACAUAUAAAUUAUGAACUAUUUAAAAGCAUGAUGUUCCCACUUAUUCAUAAGCUUAGAACACAUAUAUUAACGCUUAUUGUUAGUGCUCUCAAAAUAUGGACGAUAUCAUGAUCAUAGAGGUAAAGUCA
This is a long non-coding RNA of Populus euphratica (Euphrates poplar), 133 nucleotides long. RefSeq lists it as uncharacterized. The transcript is spliced from 2 exons. The record is from RefSeq and is a predicted model, not a curated record. Lineage: Eukaryota; Viridiplantae; Streptophyta; Magnoliopsida; Malpighiales; Salicaceae.